This 249-nucleotide long non-coding RNA is filed under the name Nicotiana benthamiana. RNAcentral describes it as "long non-coding RNA (NBEN_LNC001244)". Lineage: Eukaryota; Viridiplantae; Streptophyta; Magnoliopsida; Solanales; Solanaceae. The record is from RNAcentral.
CUGAUUGUGUGUCUGCUGAUACAGGAAAUUCAGGUCUGUCUGUUCCUCUAGGGGAUCCUAUUUCCAGUCAACAUGUGAUACCAGGGUUGAGCAGACAGCAAUGUGAUCAGAUUGUGAGCUUAAUUUGACAGACUCUUUCUACUAGUGAUCAAGCUCCUUCUCCCAUGAGUUCUGCUAAUUUUGCUCGUACUUUGAUGUCUGAGAGUCUUGUUUCUGAUUCCAAGUUGUGCAUGCUUACAAACAUAAAUU